GGUCCGGUAGCUCAGCUGGUAGAGCGGCACUUUCAUACGGUGCUGGUCGGCGGUCCGAGUCCGCCCCGGGCCU
This 73-nucleotide transfer RNA is filed under the name Deinococcus ruber. It matches the Rfam family "tRNA". Rfam says of the family: Transfer RNA (tRNA) molecules are approximately 80 nucleotides in length. Their secondary structure includes four short double-helical elements and three loops (D, anti-codon, and T loops). Lineage: Bacteria; Thermotogati; Deinococcota; Deinococci; Deinococcales; Deinococcaceae. The record is from Rfam by way of RNAcentral.